GGCCUGGUGGUCUAGUAGUAUGAUUCCUUCUUAGGGCGUCCGUGCUCGGUUGGAGGAGGUCCCGGGUUCAAUUCCCGGCCAGGCCC
Non-coding RNA from Vararia minispora EC-137, 86 nucleotides. The record is from the annotation of a GenBank genome assembly. NCBI's taxonomy places the organism in Eukaryota, Fungi, Basidiomycota, Agaricomycetes, Russulales, Lachnocladiaceae.